ACACUACUGACGAAUCCCAUAAUAGGACGAAACAGCCAUCCAGUGU
This is a non-coding RNA of Schistosoma haematobium, 46 nucleotides long. The record is from Rfam. NCBI's taxonomy places the organism in Eukaryota, Metazoa, Platyhelminthes, Trematoda, Strigeidida, Schistosomatidae.